Molecule: long non-coding RNA, 357 nt
Filed under: Homo sapiens (human)
Lineage: Eukaryota; Metazoa; Chordata; Mammalia; Primates; Hominidae
Description: non-protein coding lnc-DUSP10-7:1
Source: RNAcentral
AUGACUGACACUUCCAAAGCUGUUCCAACUUUUGAAGAGAUGUUUGCUAGUAGAUUCACAGAAGGUGACAGGGAGUAUCAGCAAUACCUGAAAUGCCCUCCUGGGUCCCCUCUAAUUGUUGAGGAAUGGAAUAGCAGAGCUGCUGGGAACCAAAGAAAUAGAGACAAUCAGUCUCAAGAUAACAGACAGUUCAGAGGCAGGGAUAGCAGCCAGGGAUGGCCAAGUGACAAUUGAUCCAAUCAGUGGCAUGGAAGAUUCUGGGGGUAACAUUACCCAUAACACAGACAAGAACCUUACUAUCCCCACCAAUAUUGGCACUAUGGUUAAAACCAGCAGCCUCCUUACGGUUACUACUGA